Molecule: long non-coding RNA, 409 nt
Filed under: Pan troglodytes (chimpanzee)
Lineage: Eukaryota; Metazoa; Chordata; Mammalia; Primates; Hominidae
Description: lncRNA (ENSPTRG00000054310.1)
Source: RNAcentral
UUGUUGCUGUUGUUGCUGUUGUUUUCAAAGACCACCCCAGCCACUGUUUACAGGAUCAAAAGCAUUAUAAAAUAUGUGUAAUUAUUUCCUGAGCACGCCCUUCCUCCUCCUCUCUCUGUCUCUCUGUCUCUGUCUCUCUCUUUCUCUGUCUUCUCUCUCUGUCUCUCUCUCUCUGCCUAUUUCUCUCUCUCUCUCUCUGCCUGUCUCUCUCACUGUGUCUGUCUUCUGUCUUACUCCCUUUCUCUGCCUGCCUGUCUGUCUCUCUCUCUCUCUUUCUCUGUCUGUCUUCUCUCUCUCUUUGCCUGUCUGUUUCUCUGUCUCUGUCUCUCUGUCUCUCUCUCUCUCCCUGUCUCUCUCUCUGUGUCUGUCUUCUGUCUUACUUUCUCUGCCUGUCUGUCUGUCUGUCUCU